Molecule: long non-coding RNA, 1850 nt
Organism: Bufo bufo (common toad)
Lineage: Eukaryota; Metazoa; Chordata; Amphibia; Anura; Bufonidae
Exons: 3
Source: RefSeq, a predicted model, not a curated record
CGCCCCGGUGUUAUAAUGUAACGACAGGUCGCCCCGGUGUUAUAAUGUAACGACAGGUCGCCCCGGUGUUAUAAUGUAACGACAGGUCGCCCCGGUGUUAUAAUGUAACGACAGGUCGCCCCGGUGUUAUAAUGUAACGACAGGUCGCCCCGGUGUUAUAAUGUAACGACAGGUCGCCCCGGUGUUAUAAUGUAACGACAGGUCGCCCCGGUGUUAUAAUGUAACGACAGGACGCCCCGGUGUUAUAAUGUAACGACAGGUCGCCCCGGUGUUAUAAUGUAACGACAGGUCGCCCCGGUGUUAUAAUGUAACGACAGGACGCCCCGGUGUUAUAAUGUAACGACAGGUCGCCCCGGUGUUAUAAUGUAACGACAGGUCGCCCCGGUGUUAUAAUGUAACGACAGGUCGCCCCGGUGUUAUAAUGUAACGACAGGUCGCCCCGGUGUUAUAAUGUAACGACAGGUCGCCCCGGUGUUAUAAUGUAACGACAGGUCGCCUCGGUGUUAUAAUGUAACGACAGGACGCCCCGGUGUUAUAAUGUAACGACAGGUCACACCGGUGUUAUAAUGUAACGACAGGUCGCCCCGGUGUUAUAAUGUAACGACAGGUCGCCCCGGUGUUAUAAUGUAACGACAGGUCGCCCCGGUGUUAUAAUGUAACGACAGGUCGCCCCGGUGUUAUAAUGUAACGACAGGUCGCCCCGGUGUUAUAAUGUAACGACAGGUCGCCCCGGUGUUAUAAUGUAACGACAGGACGCCCCGGUGUUAUAAUGUAACGACAGGUCGCCCCGGUGUUAUAAUGUAACGACAGGUCGCCCCGGUGUUAUAAUGUAACGACAGGACGCCCCGGUGUUAUAAUGUAACGACAGGACGCCCCGGUGUUAUAAUGUAACGACAGGUCGCCCCGGUGUUAUAAUGUAACGACAGGUCGCCCCGGUGUUAUAAUGUAACGACAGGUCGCCCCGGUGUUAUAAUGUAACGACAGGUCGCCCCGGUGUUAUAAUGUAACGACAGGUCGCCCCGGUGUUAUAAUGUAACGACAGGUCGCCCCGGUGUUAUAAUGUAACGACAGUACGCCCCGGUGUUAUAAUGUAACGACAGGUCGCCCCGGUGUUAUAAUGUAACGACAGGUCGCCCCGGUGUUAUAAUGUAACGACAGGUCGCCCCGGUGUUAUAAUGUAACGACAGGUCGCCCCGGUGUUAUAAUGUAACGACAGGUCGCCCCGGUGUUAUAAUGUAACGACAGGUCGCCCCGGUGUUAUAAUGUAACGACAGGUCGCCCCGGUGUUAUAAUGUAACGACAGGACGCCCCGGUGUUAUAAUGUAACGACAGGUCGCCCCGGUGUUAUAAUGUAACGACAGGUCGCCCCGGUGUUAUAAUGUAACGACAGGUCGCCCCGGUGUUAUAAUGUAACGACAGGUCGCCCCGGUGUUAUAAUGUAACGACAGGUCGCCCCGGUGUUAUAAUGUAACGACAGGACGCCCCGGUGUUAUAAUGUAAUGACAGGACGCCCCGGUGUUAUAAUGUAACGACAGGACGCCCCGGUGUUAUAAUGUAAUGACAGGUCGCCCCGGUGUUACAGUUGCAGCGAUUGGUCACCGCGCGUAGGCGGCGGUGCAGACUGGCAAUGCGAUUACAUUUAUGGAUGGUUCAUCAGAAUCUCUAGGUAACAUUCUGCGCAGUCGCCCUGUACCGCUUCUCUAGGAUAAUGAGGGUGAUAGUCUGCUGGAGUCAGCUGUAGGUCUCGGUAAUGGAGGACGGUUGGCAUGUUAGUUGGCGCCUCAGACGUACCGCCCCCUGGUGGCGGGACUGGAACACAUAAGGACCUUACAUUAAACUUGCUUCUUGUA